RNAcentral lists this long non-coding RNA (25402 nucleotides) under Coffea arabica (coffee). Its description in RNAcentral is "long non-coding RNA (CARA_LNC008280)". The record is from RNAcentral. Lineage: Eukaryota; Viridiplantae; Streptophyta; Magnoliopsida; Gentianales; Rubiaceae.
GGGGACAUAAAUGCUGAUCUCCCGACCUAGGAAUCUCUUCCAAAGCAAGGGGUAGACAACAAAGUAUUAAAUUUUUCUGUAGUACUAUAUCAAAGAUGGGUAACGGGUAACGGGUAACGAGUAACGGGUAACAGGCAACGGGUAACGUUAAACAUAAAUUCAAUGUCCAAUUUGCAGAUGCAGCUACACUGUAAGCCUGUAAUUAGUUGAUAACUGAUCACACAACGGUAACAACUUUCAUGUUUCUGUGUACCAAAUACUAGGUAUUGCUUUUUUCGUUUUUUGCUCCUAACCUGCCACCAUAUAUCUCUUCCCUCUUGCCACUUCGUAGCUUCUCUCUUCAUGGCUGAUUCAUUUUCGUACGUCAAGCAUAUAUCUGCAAUAAGUAAUAUAACAUGCUACAUAAGAAAGGAAGCACUCUCAGCUUUGUUAAGUUGUCAAGCACCAGCCACUGAGCAAAGUCUCUGAGGAAGAGGAAAUUACAAUCAAUGAAGAGAGAGAAAAAUUCAGAAGUCAAUCCUAGAUCCUCCUAAAUCAAAUGUUCAACUUGUAAUGUAAGAAGCAUCCUGAUUCAGAAAGCAACUUUAAGCAAUUCCUAUAACUACAAACAUGCAAUCAACAGUUCAUGUCCAAUAUGUUUCCCAUGGAAUGAGUGUAAUAUCAAUGACAGUUAAAAACACAUAACAGGCUGGUGAUAAUGAGAAAUUUACCCUUUUGAAAGUGAGCCCAGUUGUCAUUUAGAAGAAACUUGCGUGGCAUUAUAAUUAGUGCUCUGGUAAUAUCAGGUUUUGUUAUGGAACCCCUGUUUUAGGAGUGCUUUAGAAAGACAGUUUUGGUAAAACACCAUCUACAUUAACACUCUAAAACACCAAUAAAAAUAUACAUUAAAUAGGGAACCAGUGGCAGAGGAGGGUAAUAGUUGUGAGAGGGAAAGGGGCGUUUAGGAAAAAUGGUUGUUUUGUACAAACACCCACAAUUUUUCUAAAACAACUACAGUAAGCUACAGCAAAGUUUUAGAAAAACACACACAAAACACACUAUCCAAAUGGACCCAACACUUGCCCAUAUAAGAGAGAUAGUCAUGGGAGUAAUCAGAAAGGAUCGAUUACAUUUUCUUCCUGGAUGCUAUGUUUUGGUUAUUUAUCAAUAGAUGAGACCGAACAGUUAACUGAUUUAUUAUUCCAAAAGUUAGCAGUGCAUCUCCAAGCAUUAAGACAGUUUAACCCCACAUAAUUUAGUAAACUUGCAAGUUUAAGUGCUGUAUUGACAUGAUUUUAAAAACACACUAUUGUACCUACCAACAAUCAGUGGCAUCAAACAAAUAAUAGACUACAGGCAAAUCAUUCUUGUUCUUCAAGAUAAAUAUUGUAAUAAAAAAUCAAUAGACAGAGAGGAAUUAUGUCCUCCAGAACCCUCUCAACUCCAUUACUUCAAUCACAAAUCCCCCCGCCCCCCUCUUCCCAGGGAAGAGAACUUAAGCAAAUAGAGGGAAAGAAGCUGCAAGCAUAGUAACGAAGGCAGAUGUUGCAAUCAUAUCAUAAUGCAAUAGCUCAGUUUCUGACCCAAAAGAAUGCCAUUUCGGGCAGAUUCUGCAAGGGCAGCAUCAACUAUGUCCUUGAGAUAUAUAACCUUGGAACCUCUCCUAACAGCAUUGCAAGUUAUAACAACCUUGGGUUUACAAUCCAUGAUUCUCUGGGCAAGAGAUUCAGCAGAGAACCCUGCAAAUACCACCUAAAGUACCAAAGAGAUGAUUAAGAAAUAUUAGAAUUGCAAAUUUUUUUUUUUUUUAAAUCUGCAAGGUGUAUCAUGUAGGUAAAGAUAGGGAGCAAGCAAAGAAGUCUGGUUGCCUUGUACCGAGUGAACAGCACCAAUGCGACUGCAGGCAAGCAUAGCUAUUGGUAGUUCCAUAAGCAUAGGCAAAUAAAUCACCACAGCAUCUCCCUUGCGGACACCAACAUCCUUCAAGUAAUUUGCAAGCUAUUGGCAGGAAUAGUCAGGAAAGCAUCGCAUAGGUCAAGAUCACAAUAAAUAAACAGAGUAUUCAAGUCCUGAGAGAGAGAGAGAGAGGUUAUAUAGAGACCUGGCAAACUCUAGAUAGCAGUUGGUUGUAGGUCAAGGUGCCAUCAAAACCAGGUUCAUUUCCUUCCCAGAAAAUUGCGACUUUGUCCCCAUCCCCAGAAUCUAUGAUCCUAUCCAAAGAGUUGUAGCAUAUGUUGGUCAUACCACCUUUGAACCACUGUAUUGAGCGGGCACAAACGCAGGCAGAUAAAGAUAAAACGGUAAGGAGAUGAAUGGGGAAUAAAAGAAAAAGAAAUGCACGAGCAACGAGGUGGGAGGGCGCAAGAGUGCUACUGGUAGUACAUAAAAGAAGAGAGGAUAAAAAUGGGAUAGACCUCGAUCUCGACAUUUCCUUUACGAAUGUCAAGAUUCUGGGAGUAAACCAGCGGGCCCCAUCUCUCUUUCCAAUAAAACUCCGAGGCGAUGUCUGACCAAAAUCCGGCUGGAUCUUCAAUUGACCUUGUAUACAUCUCCAAGUACUUGGAUGAUAAAUUGCAAAGUAAUAGAAAGACAAAAACAAAGAAGUGAGAAAAAAAAUCAGAAUUCCAGAGUAAUGGGAGGGAAAGUCCAUGCCUGUACAAAACAAUUUAGCAUUCAGAAGAAAGAAAAUGCACAGCAGCAAAAUAAAAGCGGAAAAAGGGUGGGGUGGGGAAGGAAUGGAAAAGGAUCAAUUAAUGGUUGUGAGAAUGGAAUGUAGGAUUAAAACAUUAGGGCGGGACAGAGAUGGCAAAGAGUUGUUUCUUAUUACCUUCUGGGGUGAGGGAACGUGAGCCUGCUUGGAGAAGGCCUCGUUGGGGAAAACCAAAUCAUCCUCCUCGGAAGCGAGCGACUCGCCCAGAAUAACGGCGUUCAAUCUGGAUAUGCGGCCUGCGCCGGAGGGCAGGAUGCUCAUGGACUCCACGUGGCGCAGGUGAUUCGAAGUCUUCAAGCAUUUCGUAGGACUACUAGAGGAUUGGAGAUCGUCUUCCAUUGCCCUCCUCCUGUAUGCCGCCCAGGUCGUGCCACAACAGAAGGCGCAGCAGCAGCAGCUUCUGACCGGGUGGUGGUUGCGGUGGCGGCAGAAUUGGCACUCAAAGCUGGAGGAAGAUGAGGAGGAGGGAUAAUUUAGGGGGUUCCUUGAGUUGACCAGCGAGUAGUUGGACUUUGAACUGCGGAAGAUCGGGAAGGAGGGUUGGCCACCUGCCAAUCUAUUACGGGUAAUUGAUCUACUCCGGAUAUUGUUGAUUAUAGUAUUAGUGGGAGCAGUGUAAUAAUUACUGCUAUUAGCUGUACUAGUGGCAUCGUUCAAACAAGAGAGGGCCAUCCUCCCCCCGUCCCUCCCUGCCGCCCUUUUCUUGCCGUUGACUUGAAAAUCUUGCCCAGACUACAAAUAAGUGCACUGCAACCGUUACAGCCUCUGUCUACGCAUGUGUAUAAGUUUAUAUUUGUUCCUUUGUACAGGCGGAGGCGGACAUACAGAGGUGUCCAACCCUUUUGACUCUUAAGUACCCGUUAAUCAAUAUAAUUUUACUGCGGUCUACUGGUUUAGUUUACUUUACUUAAAUAUUUAGUGACAGUUUAGGCACGAGUCUAGGGGUGCAAACGAACCGAACUCGAGUCGAGUUUUGGCUAAUCGAGCCGAGCUCGAGUUAAUUUUGUGAAGCUCGAAUUCGAGCUCGAGCUCGACGAACUCAAAAUAUCAAGCUCGAACUCGAGUCAAAUUCGAGUCGAGCUCGAGCUCGAACUCGAGUUUAAAAAAUAAAAAAAAAAAUUUAUUAUUAUUUUUUUUUAAAAAAAUAAUAAUAAAAUAAUAAUUUUUUUAAUAAUAAUAAUAAAAUAUUAGGGAUAUAUAUGUAAUUUUACUAUUAAAAUAAAAAAUAAAAAAUAUAUAUAAUUGAGCCAACGAGUUUAAUGUUUUUGAACUCGAUCUCGAGCUCGAGAUCGACUUAAUUAGCUCGAGCUCGACUAGAGCUCGAUAUUGACGAGCUCGAGUCGAGCUCGUAUUCGACCCGCGAGCGGCUCCAUUCGCAAAACACCCCUAGGCACGACGGACGGCAAGCAAGUUUAACGCUGUUGAUGAUUUUUUGUUGGUGCCGUUCCAUUUCACUCCCCCAUGCCCAAUUCUUAAUUUCUUAUAAUCCAAUGACUUUUGCCUUGCUUUUAAAUUCACCAAUUUAUUUUUUUUUUGUUUUCAAAUAAAAGAUAACUAGUAAUUAAGGCAUAUUCUAUGUGUUUGCAAAUAAUAAAAAUACAUUUAUUCAUAAAUGCUUUUUCAUAGACAUUGGUUUUAUACUAUCAAAAUGAGUUUGGUUUUGUUCUCAAUUGAUUUUGGAAAUCUGAUAUUAGCUUUUGAAUAUUUUGUUGUGCUCUCAACUGAUUUUAAAAAAUUGAUUUUAGAUUUUUUGGACCCAAAAGAGUUGAAAAUCAAAAGUAGAUCUCAAUAUGCUUUUGGAUUCUAAUUCUGGCUUACUUUUUUUAUGUAGACAAAAUCAUCAUUUAAAUUUUAACAUAAUUAUUAAAUUAACUACAUAUUAGAUAACUUUUUACGGUCUCUUCAUUUUCUCAUUUCACUCCCACAUUUAUAUAUGUGUCCCUUGUUUAUCUCAUCCAUCAUUUAAUUUUCAUAUGAAAAGUAACUAAUUACAUCAAACAAAAAUUCAUUUAUGUAGCAUAUAAAGGUAACUUAGUCAUCUUUUUUUUUUUUUCAAAAUCAGUUUUUAACUUUUUUUUUUUAGAACACCUAUGCGUUUAUUAAAAAAGCUUUUUAAAUAGUAAACAAUAAUGCAUGAAUCAUUCUGAAAAUUUGAUAUUUAAGAAUCAGAAUCAGUCGGGAACAAAGCCUUUGUUUAAAAAUUUAAUGAUAAUUAAAAUGUAUUUCCUACAAUUAUGAAUUGUUAUGGAUAUAAUUUCAAAAUCAUGACACUAAAAAUAAAGGAGAAGAUUAUAUUUUUAUAAGACUAAAUCAUUUUAUCCUUUAUUUUAAGCGUAAAAAGAAGUAGAUUAAAAAAUAAUGUACCACCUUAAACCCUCGUAAGGUUUAUAUAUAAAAGAAGUAGGAUUAUUUCUCUUUGUAAUAGAAAGAGAUUAUUCACAAGUUUUGCAUUGAGGCUUGGAUUGCUCUCAUGAGCAUAUCCCUCUAAUUUUUCUUUUCUCCCAAGUUUCCUUCCUCUUCCCCUUUUCCAUUCCUUUCCGAAUUCUGUAAAUCGUUGAGCAUAGUUCAUUAAUGGAAAUUCGGGUAAUUUUGUUGAAUUGAUUGUUGUUUAAAAGAUGAAAUAGUUAAUAUGGUCAAAAUGGUUAAUCUUACAACCCUGGUUGAUGCUAUAGAAGCAGCAAAACUACAAGGAAAAGAACCUAAAAGCCAUGCAAAAGAUUCGCAAGACAACUACUACUAUUCCUUAUGGCCAAAAGACUCUUUCCAAACCACCAAAUAAUUUUAAGUGGAUCCCAUCCAGCUCUAAAACCAUAGAUAACCCCUCCCCAAAAGCGUCAAAAAACCUCACCAACACACAGGCCCAAUAUAGAAGAUUACCCCUGCUGAGCUUACUUAUAGGAGAGAGAAAGGGCUAUGUUUCAAGUGUGCUAAACCAUACACUCUGGGCCAUAUGUGUAAACAAUCCCAUUUGCAUUAUAUAAUCUCAGAGGAAGGAGAAAAGGAAGCAGAAAAUGAGGAGAAAAGGGAUGAAGACUCAGAAGUUUACUGCGAUAGUGUGUGUGUUGAGCUGGUAAAUGAACAGAUGGAGGUCGCAGGAGGAAAUGAUCAUAAAACUAUCAGGAUGAAGGGGAACAUCAAAGGAAGAAGGAUCAUAGCACUGAUUGACAAUGGCAGUACCCACUGUUUUCUGGAUAAACAAGUGCCUAGGAACUUGGGGUUAAACACUGGUGGGAAACAUUGACUGUUAAUGUGGCCAAUGGAGAGAAACUGCAGUCUAAAGGCUUGGUCAAACCAGUGACAUGGAAGAUGCAAGGGCAUGAAUUCCAGCACCAGUCCAAUACCUUGAAGUUGGGUGGUUAUGAUUUAGUGUUAGGAGUAGACUCGUUGGCAAGGUAUAGUCCUAUGGAAUUUGUUUUGAAGAAGCUAAGCAUGAAGUUCUAUAAGGGAAAACAACCAAUAGAAUUGACUGGAGAAAGCAAUGAGGUGCAGUUAAAACUUAUCAGGAGAAGCAGGAUACGAAAGUGGUUCAGAAAACAAGCUUAUGGAAUUGUUGCACAGGUACAGGUGGUGGAAGAGGAGGAGAAAAGCUAGGAGGAAUUGAUUCCCGAAAUGGAGAAGGUAUUAGAAGAAUUCAAGGAUGUAUUUGAGGAACCAUAGGGUCUGCCACCUAUGAGGAGCCAUCAUCACUCCAUUACACUCAAGGAAGGAGCUAAACCCUUCCAGAUAAGGCAGGCCUUAUAGAUGUCCUUAUGUGUAGAAAGCAGAAAUCGAGAAGUUAGUAAAAGAAAUGCUGCAUAAUGGAAUCAUCCAACUCAGUAGCAGCCCUUUUGCCUCUCCAGUACUACUGGUCAAGGUGAAAGAUAGGUUAUGGAGGUUCUGUGUUGACUAUAGGCAACUGAAUGAGCUGACAGUAAAUGCACAAGGCUAAAAUUUGUCCUACAACCUUCUAUGCACUUCAAGAAGCAGUUCCAACACAUUACAAACUAAACAGCAUCCUUGAACUUAUAACCUUCACCAAAUGCCAAAUUGCUGAAAAUCUCACAAUUAUCUUGAAGUAGAAUAUACAGGAGACAGGAGGUGAAAACGCUCACACCAGAUGUUGAACUCUUCUACAUUAACAAUCAAACAGUUCCAGUAUCAUUUGUUUCGAGGCUCAGCACUAAAAGAAGGCUUCCGAUUGAGGUAUCUAAUGACAGCAUCUUCAACCCUACAGCAGAGAUUAUAAGAUUUAAUCAGAUAAAGUGUUUACAGGGAGUCAGUCACGUACCCUGGAAGAUAAGUAAACAAGCUGAAAAUAAAGUCAAAGCAACAAGCUGAGAGGAAAUUCAAACUAGCAGUAUUUGCUAGUUGAAAGCAUAUAUGAUCAAACAAAUGACAGAGGGAAACUAGAAUUUCUGGAAGUGCAAAAACAGUUUGCAUUGUUUAAUCAUGACAUAUUGUUUCAUCAGUUAAUCUACACUCUCAAGUUGUCUGUCUCUAUUAUUAUCAAAGCUAGAUAUAAUAAAGAUCAUACAAAUGCUCUGAAACACUAGAUUGACUACUACUUCGAAAAUUGCAAUUACAAGGGCCAAGACUAAGAAGUGGAUAUUUGUAUUUCAAAAUAAAUGAGUUGUAAACUGAGAUAAGAAGCAACAUUCGAUGUAACAAUAUGAACAAGAAGGUAGAACUAUAAACCAAGUACAGUAAGAUAGAGCUAUACACAAGAAGUGGUAUUUGUAUUUUACCAUGUUUGGUUAUAAAAUUCAGAUCGGCGCUCAUUCUCAGCAUUGUGGCUGGUAUCUGCACCAAGAAGCUUCAAGUCCCUAGCUUGAGAAGCAAGCAAACCAUUGAUGAACUCAGCUGGAGAAUGACUAAAUCCUAGAAAGAAAGCUUGUCUCUGAUAAUGUUCAUGGAUUUUCCUAAUAGCAGCAGAAAUUGCUUCGUCAAAGGCAUCAACCUCCUUAUUCCUCUCUAAAUCGGUGAGGAAACUUGACAUUUCCCUCUCUAAUAAAAUAGGAACAUCAACCGGUACAUCAUAACAAGUAUUUCCAGCUGGACAAUUCCCAGAAAGCUUAAUCUUAUGUUCCAAAUGUAUUGGUUUGAGUGAAGUUAGAUGUUGUAUUAUCUUCUGGGAAACUACAGCAAAUUUCAAGUUCUCUUCUCCAAAAACUUUUCUCAGAGGUGGAUCACACACAAAAGAGGAUGUGUCACCUGGAAUUUGUAAUUUCCUUGUCUUUAUGUAAUGCCAAAGUGCAGCUAUAGUCCUAGGGCGUGUCUCAACCUCUACCCCAAGAACUUCUUGCAAAGCAGGUGAAAGCCUAAAUUUCUCUGGAACAAAAUCCAUUUCUAAUCUAACAAUCGCAGUAAACUCCUUAUCUCCUUUUCUCUUCACCUCAAACCCCUCAUGAAGUGCCGGUGACCGAGAAUUCUCCCACAAGAUCACAUGAUUAUCAGGAUACAGGUUCUGAUCCAAGUAUACAGUCAUUUUCCUAAUGAAAGAGGAAAACUUAGGAUAUGGAGAGCUUGAAAUGUUGAGCGAACCAAGAGCUGCAGGAUCAGCCCCAUCUUCCAAGAUCCUCCCACAUAUUUUAAGCGACCAAGAGGGAGGAUCAGCGUUUUUGCUGUCAGUAUGCGCCCCUUCCUGGUUGGCAAAGGUGUUAAAUACAUAAAUCCUGAGCAUCUUUUGAAUGCGCAUCGGGUUCUUAAGGGUAUCUGCAAUUUCAAUCUUCUUCCUGGCAAGAAGAGCAUCAAUACGGGACUCAAGUUCAAGCAACUGGGCAUAAAGAGCUGAUUCCGGCAAGGACGAUGCCGCUUUAUGGGGAUCUCUUCUCAGGAAGCUUCCGUUUCCUCCUCCGCACAGCAGGAGCUAAUUCCAUGGUUUUUAAUGGGGAAGCAGUAGCACCUUGUCCGUGUCCACCAGAGGACACACCACCAGAAGGCCGCGACGGGGGCUUGUGAGAUGGGGUCCGCCUACUACUGCCCGCUGAAGUUGCAGGGGUUGAUGGACCAGGUGAAGAUACAGCUGCAGCAUUGGCAGUUGCAGAAUUUUCAAGUUGGGCAUGAGCAGCCAGGGCAUGGCCCAGCCCCUGAGCCUGGAGGCGUUCAGACAAUUGGAAAUUACCGGGGAACUGGGGACCGCCACCUUGACGUUGUGGCUGUUCAGUGGGAAGGUGAGGAACCGCUGUUUGGUCGUGAUUAUUUUUGUGGUUCAUGGAAACUUGCAUCUAUUGCCUCCCUGGACACUACAAUCAAAUGCAGGCAACUACCGCGCAAUUUGAACCGGUCAGGGAACGAUCCUUACAAGGCGGGGGCGGGGGCGACUCGCUCGGAUUCGGAAGAUUCGAGAUGACUCGAGUCAAAGAGUCGAACAAGCAAGCCAAUCGUAUGACCCGUUUCAACUCGGGACUUAUAACCAAAAAAAAAAAAAAAAAGAAACCCCAACAAAAAACAACAGCUUUCUGCUUUGCAGCAAUUAGGGGAAAGACAAUGAAAAUCCCCACGAGAACAUCCCAAAAACAGUGACAAGUAAAAUAAUCUGGACAAAGUUAGCGUAAGAUAAAUACAACCAAAAAGAAACUAAUCUCCCUACCAAAUUUAGGCCGAACUUGUCUGCUCAAAAAACAGCACGUGGUGGGAGAGAAGACGGGGAAUAAGGAGAUGGGCUGGUGAAGCUUCCAUAAGCAAGGAGAAGGUGAAGGGCGAAUGAUGUUGCUUGAGCAAGGAGAAGGCUAUGUCUGUGGGGUUGCCAGGGGAGGGGGCCGAGGGAAGUGGCUGUUCGGCAGGAGUCGAUCGGGCACUGGCAGUGGGCUGGUGGGCUUUAGUUGCAUAAUAAUAAAUGUUUCUCAGCAAAAGUUGUGUAACACUUAUUUUAGUGGGGUCGUUCGAAAGGCAUUUGGGUUAGUCGUCUUCUUCAAGGGAUAAUUUCAGAAACCUACCCUAAUUUUUUACUAUUUCAUUGACCUCCCCUAAGGUUUACAAAAUUACGCAAACCUCCCUUGAGAUUAAGUAUUUGGUAACAAAAUCCGUCCUUGUCAGGAAAAAAAAGUACACUUAAAACAGGUAUUUUGAGGAAAGACAUGAAAAGUUCUCAAAAAUGUCCCUUUUGUGGCUAUACAAGUUGCAGUAGUAAAAUAAUGGUAAAUAAUAAAAGCUAGAAAUAAUUAUUAUCAAUAUAACAGGUGAUAAAAUCGAUUUGUUCUUAUUGUUAUUGAUGUCAAUUAAAAAAUGGGGCCAUGUUAGGGUAUCAAUUCGCACCAUUUUUUUUGUAAUUAUAGUUAUAAAUUUUUAUUAAGAACUUCACCAUAGUUAUGUUCAAUAAUCAAUUGGAAUCAAUUAAUUUGAACCAUAAGUAUUCAUUUGUUAGAUAUUAAUCUUCUAAUAAUACAUAAUGGGUGUGUGUGAAUAGCUAAGUUUUGUCAAAUAAUAUUUUGCUUGCAUUAUAAACACAUUUUUUCAACUCACUUUUUUAUCUUACAUAUAUCACAUCAUAAAAAAAUGCAUGUGCUUGUUAAUAUUAGUGAAAAAAUAAUAAGAAAAGCAAAGGAUUAUACUUUAUUUUUAUUUUUUGUAAAACUGGCUUAACUCAUAAAAUGAAAUUGCUUUAUUUACAUUAGUUACUCCACUAACUCAUAAAUACAUCAUGUCCACGUUUUCAUCAAAUACAAAUACCACUCCAACUAACUCUCAUUUCCUCACACACCUUCUCGCUCCAAUUAACAAUUUCAUUCCGAUUAAAAUUCCUCCAACCCAAUAAUAAGAGAUAACAACAUAAUUUCACCAAAAAUUACAAUUUACCAUCUCUUUCAAGUUCUUUCUAGAGAGAAUGAGUAACAAGCGCUAAAUUGCGGAGAUAUGGAGAAGGAAUGAGUCAAAUGUGAGACUUCCAUUUGGGUUAAAUAAAUUAUUAAGUUAACAACCUUACAAAGAAAACAAUGAAUAGGGAAUGCAAUUUGCCUAACCUAGGAAAUAUGGUAAAACACAUAAUACUAUCAAAAUCUAUAUCUAUAUGUAUUGUAGGGAGAGUUUUUUGGAUGAUUAAAUUAGAAAUCUUAUAACUCAUCUUUAUUUAUUUUUAUAGAAUUUUAAGUUUUUAAAAUUGUUAUAUAUAUUUUUCAUGUCUUUUGAAUUUAAAGGUAAGAAGUGGCUCAUCCGUUUGAUAAACUGAAUCUGAAUUCUUAAAUCUGAAUACUGAAACAAUUAAUUUGCUGAAUUUUAAGCACCGAAAAGAAAUAUAUGAAUGUCUGAAUUUUAAUGUUAAAUCUAUUUAUACUGUUUGAUAAACAUUUAUAAUUGGAUGUUUAAUAAGUUAAAUUUGAUAAUUUUGCCCUUAUAUCUUUUCAUCCAAAAAAGAAAUAUAACUUGUGAUUUAAUUAACUUAAAAUUGUUAGGUAUGAAAAUGAAAAUAUUUAUUUUAAAAUCAAAUUAAUAUAAAAGAUGAAAUAUAUUAUAUGAGGAGUAUGGAGAAGAUGUGAAAGUCAUUAACAAUGGAUAAAAGAGAAAUAUGAAAUCAUUAAAUGGAGAAUGUUAGGUUGUUUAAUUAUAUAAGAAUUUUAAACAUAAUUAACAAAUAAUGGUAGAUUUUGUAGGUAAGAUAAAUUAGUUGAAGUAAUUAUAUUGAUUCUUAUCAGAAUUAAAUGUUAAGUUAGGAUUAUUGUGCUUAAAAAAAUACACACAAGUUCAGCAAAUGGAUUUUUAUUUAUUAAACACUCAAAACAUAUAUAUGAAAAAAGUUCAGAUUCAACAAUUUUCUAUGUUAUCAAACAAACUCAUAUAGGAAUUUGAUUUGAAAUCUAUUAAUGUGAGGGUAAAUAAAGAGGAAAACCACCAACCUAAAAGCAAAAAAGUAAAUAACAAUAUUUUACUCUUUAAUUUAGUAAUCCAACUAAAAAGGCAAAGUAUAUAGAAAACAAAAAGAAAAUAAUAUUCACUGGUCAUGGAUUUAAAAUAUCAAUAAUAGUACCAUUUGUGGAUAAUAAAUUAUGAAAUUACUAAAUAGAAAACAAAGUACUACUAGCCUAAAAAACAAAUUAUGAAUUUAUAGGGUUUGAAAGAAUUGUGAAGGGAAAAGAAUAGAAAAUUGGGUGGCAAAAAUAGAAAAUUAGAGGUUAGCUAUAGACGAGAGAAAAAGAGUAGCAAAAAGUUAAAGAGUGGUGGGAAAAGUCAAAAAAUAAAGGUAAAUUACUACAAAAUUGGACGAAGAGAUGAGAGAAGAAAGAAUGAAAUUGUAAGGAUAUGACAUAAAAGAUGACACCGUGAUAAGAGAUCUGAAAGUCAUAAAAGACAGCGGAUAGCUAAUUAGUAGGUAAGAGAGGAUAGAAAUGGUGAUAAUUUUUUAGUAAUUUUGAAACACAUCUCAUGAAGAUUAUUUUAAAUAUAUAUUAAAAUUUAUGAAGAACAUUAUUUUAUAAGCACUCAACAAUUUUUGGAUUACAAAAUGAGAGAAAAUUUUUCUAAAUUUGAGGAAAAUGAAUUAGUUAUACUUUAUAUUUUUAAUGUUAAAAAUUUUGAUAUAUGGGUAUAACAUGAUAUAUUGAUAUAUUUAUAAAUAAGUUUAUAAUUGCUCUAUGAUAUGAAUCGUUAUAAAUUAAAUUAUUUUAUUAAAAUUGUUAUCGUAUAUUGACAAACAAUAGGUUAACAAAAUUUGGUUUCAACUUAUUUAAGAUAUUAAAAUUAGGAAAGUCCAUGUUUUGUACUUAUGAAAUAAACUUUUUUUUAACAUGUUAAGCAUACACUUCUUUAAAUUUUUUUGUCUUUUUUAUAUACUUUAUCUUAUACUAUAAUAUGUAAGUAUUGUUUUGAAUUGAAAUAUAAAUCUGUGCAAAGAAUGGAUCAGAUUGCUAGUAAUAAAUAAUUUCUAACAGUGCUUUGAAAGCUAGGUGAGCCUUGGAGUUGGAGGUGGGCAUCUUCCCUAAAUUUUAAAAAUUCAUACUUUUUACCCUUUGACACUGAGAGUUUAGAAAAAUCCCUAUAUUGAGUCCAAAUGGCUUGUGCUUUGCAGCAAAGGAAAGAGAACGAGAUUCAGGAAAAAUGAAUGAAUAGAUCGCACAAAAACUGUGCCACUUGGCUAGUUCCGCGUAAAACAUCCAUCUUUCUUCCGGGUUCCGGAUCCUAUUGAAUCAAAAUCAUCGGUGGCAUUCUAUCCACCCAUCCAUACAUUUUCUGUCCAGUACAACAUGACAAGACAUCCAUUAGACCACUGGACUCAGUAACUAACUACUAGAGCUGGCAAUUUGUCCCAAGUCCCAACGGGCUACCCAUGCCCAAAGGAACUUUGGGCGGGAUGGGUAUUAUAAUUUGGUAUUGGGUUUAAGUUGGGACACAUCCCAACUAUACCCAUUAAUGAAUGGGAAAGGAUGGGAAAUACUUGGGUACCCAUUGGGCUCAAAUGGCAAGGGCUCCGUUUGGAUUAGCUGUUUUUGGUAGGUGUUUUUGAAAUAUUUUAUUGUAGCAGUGUAUAUGAAAAAUUUUUACUAUAAAAUUUUUUUGAAAUAUUUGAUAUAUUAAUAUGGAUGGGAUGUUUCUUGAGUUAUUGUAUAUUACUGUAACAUUGUAUUUGAAAAACUUAUUUUUUGAAAAAAAAGUCAAUCCAAACGGAAUCUUAGAUUCAAAAAUUAUCUUUAACAAUUUUUAUAGUCAUACCAGCGAAUAUAAUCUAGUAGUCUUCCUAGUCAUUAUCCACAAGAAUUUCCAGCAUUUCAGUUAGUUUAGACCUGUCAUCCUUGGACAAUGAUAAGGAUAAAUAUUCAACAUCCUAAGGACCUUGGCCAUCUUGAUAUAUGUUGGAAUAUGGCUGUAUAUCUAUCUUUUCCUUUAUUUGUUAAUCCAAUUUUUGGUGGGAAUCUUGAGUAUAAAGCACUUGCAUGUUUAUUUAAUAAAACUAAAAGAAAUUUAAUAAAUCAAAAAUAUAAAAAUUAUAUAAAAAUAAAAAAUGAAUUAAAGGAAAAAAAAUAUGUAGAAAAUGGAUUUGGGUAUUGGGCGGGAUCAAUCUAAACCCAUCCCAAAAUGAUCCCGCCCAAGUUAGUCCCAAAACACAUAUGGGUAAGGUUGGGCCCAAACCCAUAUGACUCGGUUCCAUCUCAAACCCAAGCAAAUUCCGCCCAUCCCGCCCAUUUUGCCACCUCUACUAACUACUUGUUACAGUUUGACAAAAAAAAAAAAAAAACUACUUGUUACAAGCAUAGAAGUGCCCAUCACCAUCUCCGUUAGGAUUCAGGAAGUGCCAGUUGACCUCAACUCACCUCACCACACCAGACCGGGCCUCAUCCUCGGCCUCUUCUCAGUUCUCAACACUGUGCAUUACGCUCUACUCGCCUAUUACAAUUGAAAUUGAUGCCACUACUACUGUAGAAAAUUGAAAUAAAAUAUGGCCUCUACUAAAGUGCCACUGUUCCCCGCCUUCUGUGAUGUUGCAAAAAUGUCAAAUCCUUCUUCUGCUUCUGCUACUAAUAGUUGCGCCCAUUUCCAGCCAAGGAGCAGCAGCAGAAGCAGGGAUUGGAUGACAAGAAUAAAAAUUUUCCUCCCCCUUUGCAAAUGGAACUCUCGCUUUUACUCCAUGCCAACCAAAUUCAACCCCCCACCUCCUCCUCCUUCUUCGUUGCUUUUAGUUUCAUCUUCAUCAUCAUCUUCAUCGCCCGUCCUCUACUCCGACGUUGCCCCCUCUGCUAGACGCUAUAAAUUACUGCCACCUCCGCCCCUCCGAACUCACGAGAAUGUGACGGAGAGCAGCGACGACAUUUCUCUGCUUAACGACAGAAUUCUUCGAGAGCACGGCAAGAGAGAUUCCUCCUCCCCGAGGCCCCCCGUCAUGGAUACCAAGGAGGCUGAUAAAUACAUUCAGCAGGUCAAGGAGCAGCAGCUGAGGGGUUUGCAGAAGCUCAAGGGUGACGUCACCAACAAAAAUUGGAAAGACGGCGUUUUUAGCUACAAGGUCGACCCCUACACUCUCUGCCCCGGCGACUACGUGGUGCACAAGAAGGUCGGCAUCGGCCGAUUUGUUAGCAUCAAAUUUGACCUGCCAAAGUUGAAGCAUCCUAAUACUUAUAAUACGGACCACAACCCCCAACUCCCGACUGAAUAUGUCUAUAUAGAGUACGCCGAUGGAAUGGCCAAGCUCCCUGUCAAGCAGGCUUCCCGCAUGCUCUACCGCUAUAAUCUGUACGCACGCCUUUUAUUCCUUGCCUUUCUUUACUACAACCUACAAUGUUCACCCCCUCUGAAAUAGACUUCUGAGUGACGGCUGGUGUUGACAAAAUUUGAUUGAAUUUCCGAAGCAUUUACGUGACUACUCCCUUUAAUUACUCGAUGCACGCCAAAAGUCUUGUGGUAAAACUAGAUUAUAGGAUGCAUAAACCAAUGGACCUAAAUGAUGACUUGCUUGGGAUAACCUUAAGGAGGCUCGUUUUGAAGCUAAUGAUCAUAUCUUCAGUAAUGUUUCAAGGAGCGUGGCCUUAAUUUUUGCAGCAAUCAAACUGUUGAUAAUUUGUUCUUCCGGUUAUUCAGCCCCCGGGGGGGGGGGGAAUUAGGUUAGGUACUUGGGCAGUGGGAUUGGUUUGAUCCUUCCCAGUCAGGGUAGAAACACUAAUUCAGUAAUACCGCCAUUCUGGGAACAACAUCAUUUUAUCUGACUUCUCCUCAAGUAAGUGCAACCAUUAGUUAAGGUUGUUGCUAAGUUGUAGCCAAUGUGCGUAUCCUGCAGUUGCUCGCUCACUUUGCUAUUUUAUUUCUCAGACCUAAUGAAACAAAAAAGCCACGUGCUUUGAGCAAACUAAGCGACCCAAGUGCAUGGGAGAGAAGAAGGGUGAAGGGUAAGGUUGCAGUUCAAAAAAUGGUUGUUGACUUGAUGGAGCUGUAUAUACACAGGCUCAAACAAAGAAGGCCUCCUUACCCCAAAAUGCAUGCCAUUGCAGAAUUUGCAUCUCAUUUUCCUUAUAAGCCAACGCCAGACCAGAUGCAGGUCUAUUCCAUUUUUCUCUUUUUCCUUCUUCUGCGAAACUGCUCAAUUUCAUGAUAGAUAUAGUUCUACCAGAUGAUCCUGUUAUCUUCCCUCAGUUGAAUUAAUGCCAUUUUCUGGAGAAAUAGGUGAUUUUUCUUCUUUUGACAUCAUCUAUAGCACCACUUGAGCCUGCUUAUAGAGUAAUUUCACUUAGCACUAAUUAAUUGAAUUCUCAUAACAGGCAAUCAUUGAUGUGGAAAAAGACUUGACAGAGAAAGAAAACCCUAUGGACAGAUUGAUAUGUGGAGAUGUUGGUUUUGGCAAAACUGAAGUUGCGCUUCGUGCCAUCUUCUGCGUGGUUUCAGCAGGGAAGCAAGCCAUGGUUCUAGCACCAACAAUAGUUCUAGCUAAACAACAUUAUGAUGUUAUCUCCGAUCGAUUCUCAAGAUAUCCAGAUAUCAAGGUUGGACUUCUGAGUAGGUUUCAGGUAUGUUGAAGAUUCCAAAGUUUUUUGUUUUUUGGUGGUGAAGAUAAAAUUCUUGCCUAGUUGAUGUUAGAUAUGAAAAAAGGAAUUUUACAACUCAUUUUAAUUUCAUUCUGUUUUUGAGUUGAAAAGUUUGAAACUAAAUGCAGGAGUUUUCCACCUUCUUACUAUGCUAGAAUACCUUCUAUGACAAUUUUCGUGAACAUUUAUAGGUGAUAUCAUCGGAUACUUCUAGUGGCCAGCUGUAGGUUUAUAUGCUGAAAAAAGCAUAAAAUGUUCUCUAAGCGUCUCUGUUAUCACUGACUGAAUUGGCAUCUAUUUACCAUUCCGACAAGGGAACUUUACCAUACUAGAACUACAUUCUUGCAGACCAAAUUAUUAUUUCUGAUGAAAGCAUUGGGUUUGGAUGUAAUUCUAAUCGAGUUUUUAAACUUGUAUUUAUUGCAAGUGAUGCGUUUGGUUUGCCUAAUGUGAUUGUUGUGUUUAGUCUUCCUACUUGGAUUUAGUUGACUCAUUUGGUGUUCAGUUUGAUUCCACGGCUGAUCACAUAUAUAUUUUUUUAUCACAAAAACUCUUGUACUUGCUUGCUGCCAGUGAUUUUCUCUAUUUCUCAAAGCUAUAACCUGUCUAAAAAGCAGCACACUGAUAAUACACAUAUUGAUUGAUUCAUUUCGAAACUUUUAAAUAGACUUGUGUGGCAUGUUGGUUGAGUAGAAAGGAUGUUUAUUGCGAAGUAACCGUUCAUCUUUGAACUUGCAUUAUGAAGUCCAAGUCAGAGAAAGAGGAGUAUGUGCACAUGAUUAAACAUGGGCACCUGGACAUUACAGUUGGGACUCAUUCACUACUUGGCAACCGUGUUGUGUAUAAUAAUCUUGGUCUUCUUGUGGUUGAUGAGGAACAGGUAUCCCCAAAAUAUCCUUUACACUAUCAUGAAGUUUGUGAUUUGCUAAUUAAUGCUUGAUUUUAUUUUUUGUUUUGGGGUUGAAUGAUACCAUGCCUUGUGACUUUCUAAGAGUGAAUCCUGAACUAGUUUACCUAUGGCUAAAAAUGUGGAAUGAUAGUUGUGCUACAGCCUCCUUGUGAUGAGAUGAUGGUAUUCUCCCUGGCCCAGUUCCUGAUAGCUUAAACUGCUGGAAUGGUUGUUGCUUCCUUCCUAUCUUUGAUUAGAUUGUCUGAAGUCUAUUUGCAUUAUGAUGAAUGGAGUUAGAGAAUUAAACGUCCUGCAGUGCUUGACAAUCGAGUUCAUUGUUACCAUUACUUCUAUCUAGGCAAGUUAGAGACUGUUUGCCACUAAGUAACAAAAGUUUCAUGCUACAGAGUCACUGCAAAUAGUAUAUCAUACUUAAAUAUUGGGGUUUAGGUGCACUGGAAUGCUUAUUAUAAAGGGUUGUUUUGCUCCCCUUUGAAAGAGAGACGGUUUGACAUCUUCACUUAGUCUUCUGCAUUUAGUAUUCUGAUAUCAAGAGAAACAAAUGAUUUAGAUUUCUGUGUGAGAUGUUGCUUUACAGAGAUUUGGUGUGAAACAAAAGGAGAAGAUUGCUUCUUUUAAAACCUCAGUUGAUGUACUCACGCUUUCGGCAACGCCUAUUCCACGAACCCUCUAUUUAGCUUUGACUGGGUUUCGUGAUGCCAGGUAAUUUUUGCUCAUUAAAAUGAAAAGUUUCAGGUGUUAAAUUCUUGAGUAAAUUCAAAUUGAUGUGAGUUGAUAUUCUGCUACGUCAUUUUUAUGAUCUUUUACUUGAUAGGUAGUUCCAGUCACUGUGCUAUUAAACUAAUUAUCUGUAACCACUGCCUGGGCCACUGUUUGCUGUUUUGUCCUCAGGGGGAGGGGUGAGUCUUGUGUUUGUGUACAUAUAAGGAGCUGGUAUUGGCACUCUGUUGUUUGUCAAUGGCACUCCACUUGACUGUUUAACCAUAUGAAAGGACAGAAGUACCCCUAUCUUUUGUUCCUUUACAACCUGAGUGAAUAUGGAGUGGUGUAAUUACAAAGAAACAUAUGGGCUGGCGAUAUCAGCUAAUACCAUUUUGAAUAUGAAGUGGUUGUAAUUAGACUAGAAUAUGGGCUGGUGAUCUCAGCUAAUACCAUUUUGUUUGUGCAAGUUUUCUUGAAUGUGAUGUCCUUAUUUUUUUGGUGUAUAUUUUGUUUCACCCUUUUGCAGUUUAAUUUCUACACCACCUCCUGAAAGAGUUCCAAUAAGAACCCAUCUUUCAUCAUAUUCUAAGGUAAAGGUGGUAUCAGCUAUAAAGUAUGAGCUGGACCGAGAUGGACAGGUUUUUUAUGUGUUGCCCCGAAUCAAAGGUGAAUUGACUACAUUGGCUUUUUUGUUAUGACUUUUAUAUGAUUUUAGACAGUCAUCAGGAGAUUUAUGUCUCGUGUGGUUUUAACUUUUGAAAUUUCUGAGCAGUUUAAAUGAGUUUCUUAGAUGGUGUUCAGUUAUGCCUACAUUUAUUAUUCAUGGACUUGUGAACUAUUUCAUAGGGCUUGAAGAAGUCAUGGAGUUUCUUGAAGAAUCGUUUCCAGAGGUUGAAAUAGCUAUUGCUCAUGGAAAGGUAAUUCAUUGCUUGAAGUGGAGCGCUAGAUCUAUGACCACUUCACUCUGCGUGGGUAAAAUACAAAACUACAAAGUACCAAACCACUAUGUAAGGACUGACACCAUUAAGAAGAAAUUUUAGCAGCUUUGUAUGAGGGAGACUUGAAUUCAGUUAGUCACAUUGGCAAAGGUGGUUACAGAAGUUUAUGAUAACCUGCUAUGUUGUUUGUUAAGUUUUGAUAUCUUAUUUCCUAUAGUGAAAGAAGACAAAGAGGGAUGAAUAUGAGGACAACGAAAGCACUAUGAGCCACUAACAAAGUUCAAGUAUAAUGACCGUCUUUAGAAGGUACAGAACUGGAGAUGGGAAGUAGAUUAACAUCGCAAGGCCCUAGAAAGUGGUUUAGUGAGAAUGAAAUGUCUAGAUGCCAUUGUGAGGAAAAAUACACGAUUAUAUGAUGUCAUGUAGUUUAGGAUCUUCAGAUUGAAGUAUUGCGUGCAUUUAAUCCAUCCACAUGAAACAAACAUUGUCCUUUUGACUUGAGUCUUCCGAAUUUUUCUGAUAAAUAUUGAACUUUUGUAAAUUCUGAAUUCCUGUGUAAAUAGGAUUUGUAGUCAUUCAGAUCUUGUUAAUUAUUGAUAGAGUUCGGAUUUUGAUGGGUGGCAGGUAUAUCUGUGCUUAGGAUGGGUAUAUUAUAGUAAAACUUUUGACGCUUUUGGGUUUUCUCCAAGCAAUAUAUGCCAUUACAUUCUCUUAUUUGUCUAUGGCUUUUGCUGCAUAUUUAAUGGUGUCGAUACAUUGCCACUAAUAGAACUUAGUUUCGAGCCACUCUUGUAUUGAAAUUGGAGUCCAGUGCUUGGGAAGCUAGAACCAUUUUGAAAAGUAUAUUUAGUCUAUGGGAUUGAUUGGUGAAUUAUUUAAUCUAUUAUUAGUAAUGAUAUUUUAUUGAAGCCAAUGGACACUAGCAGCAGUUGAUAGGAGAAAAGUAGGUCUGUCUGAAAUUUGUGAUAUAAAUUGAUUUGUGCAUGAAAACUGAUGUAUUAAUGCCUUCCUACAACUAAAAGUGUAUGUGAAAGUAAUCCUCUUAACGAUUUCAUAUAUAUACUUUCUUCAAAUUUCUUUCAAUAUAACAUUUUCCACUCUUCUUCCCAACUUUACUUGUUUCUGGUCUUCCUAAUUGCCAAAAUGUUAGAUUUUGCAUUUUGAUGCAUUGUGAAAGCCUCUGUAUCCAUGCAUGAAUAACUUCUUAACAAGCAUAGGUUAUAAAGCAGCUGCCCAACAAUGAGAGAGCCAUACUCUUCCAUCUCCAGUGCAUUAAUCCUUUUCAACAACCUAAAAUAAUGAACAAAAAGAAGAAAAAUGAAAGAAUGUGACUUGUGGUUAUCACCAAUGGUAAUUGUGGUUAUUGUUUGUUGUCAUCUUGUAAAUAAAUCUUUUGCUGUUUCUGCUUGGUAGAUCAUUUUCUCCCCCUGUGCUGCAAUGACUGUAAUACCUACUGCUCAAAAGGAAAUCAAACAAUGGUUUCAAGUAACUCUUGUAUCUAAAUGGUGAUUGUGGUUGUUUGUACUGUAUAAACCUAUGAAAAGUAGGAUCUUGCACAUAUUUCUCUCACAAAUCAGCUAAAUAUUUCGGCAGCAAUACUCGAAGCAGCUUGAGGAUACCAUGGCAAGAUUUGCACUGGGGGAAAUUAAGAUCCUUAUAUGCACAAACAUAGUUGAAAGUGGGCUUGACAUUCAAAAUGCGAAUACAAUCAUAAUCCAGGAUGUCCAACAAUUUGGCCUUGCACAGUUGUAUCAGGUACUCUUUUGUCCCUAUUCCUCUUCAAAAUUUUGAUAAAUUAGUUGAGAUAAAUGAACUUGCAAACAUAUCUGAGGAGGCCUGGUCUAGUGGCUAAGUUUGAGGCCCCAGAAAUUAGAAGUCCUGGGAUCAAAUCUCCUUCCACCCCGCUUCUUAAAUCCCACCCGUCCCUUGCUAAAACAAUAAACAAAUAAAUGAAUAAAAUAAAAUAAAAUCAGAACUUGGAAACAAAAAUGAAACCUGAGAUGAACCUAUAGUUGCAGCUUGAUCCCGAACUCUGAAGAUCAAUAACUUAUUUCCUUCUUCUUAGUACAGACCCCUUUUGCAUCUGUGGGUUUUGUUGCUUACUUUUGGUGCAUGUUAUUUUAUCAAGUAGUUCUUCACUUUGACAAUGAUAGAUAUAUUGGGUGACCUAGCAGAUAUCUUCCUGUUUAUGGGUACAAAAGGCAAGUUUGCGUCAUUAUUUAUAUGUGAUUUUUUACAGUAAAAACCACAAUCUCAAAAGAAGCUAUGACUGUAAUCUCGGGCUUCAAUAGUAUAGCAGCAUAUUUAAAGGCUUUCUAAGAUUUCUAUGUGUUCUUUUCCUUUUUUGGACUAUAAUUAUUCUGGUACCCGGAACAUCUCUUAACAUGGUCUUGAUCAGUAGCAUGCUCUCUAUCCUGUAAUGAAUAGUCCUGUAAGGGAGAUAUGAGGGAAGUUGAUCAAAACUUUCCUGUCUAGUUGUCUUGACUACAGUCCUGGUAUUUCUGUAGCUAAUAUUGUCAGUUCGAACUUUUUACAUAAAUGUAUACUGUGAAAUACUCGUUGUUAUCUGGUUUUUUUAGACUUUAAAUUUAAUCCUUUUUUUUUAAAUUUUUUAACAUUGUACAAUUACUUGACAGUUGCGUGGAAGGGUGGGCCGAGCAGAUAAAGAAGCUCAUGCACACUUGUUUUACGCUGAUAAGUCUUUGCUCUCUGAUCAGGCGCUAGUAAGUUUUCCUAUUGUCUUUCCUCUAUUUUUGUGGAAAACUGGACGAUUGGGAAAUGUAGUAUGUUAUGGGUUGUUCUUCUGUGUGCACCUUGUCUUGCCACAUCCCGUGUAGAAAAGUUAUGCUUUUUCUUAUGCAGGGUUAAGUGACAUUGAUAUCUGUGUUGUAUUAGGAGAGGCUAACUGCCCUUGAAGAGUGUCGUGAUCUUGGCCAGGGUUUCCAGCUUGCAGAAAGGGACAUGGCUAUUAGAGGCUUUGGUAAUAUUUUUGGUGAGCAGCAAACAGGGGAUGUUGGAAAUGUGGGCAUUGAUCUUUUCUUUGAAAUGCUAUUUGAGAGCCUGUCAAAGGUUUGUUUUUUCCAUAAUAUUAGAAUUCACUAGCACUGGCUAGGAGACCAGUAAGAGCAGAUUCUAUAACAAUAAUAAUUCCUUCAACUUGGCUCAAUAGCCAGAGAUGAAAGUAACAGAAGCUGUUUUAGUUCUUUUGUUCUUCUUAAGAUGAAAGCUUGACUAAUGUUUGGAUUAUCUUUUUGAGCUUGCUGUCAUCAUCAAUGAUAAUAAUCUUUUUCUCCUUAUUUAUUUUUGACACAUGCAUACUUUAUAAUCACAUGAUAAAUGGCUAGUUAUUUCGUAAUUAAACCUUAGAUUGAUGGAUAGAUCUUCACUUAAUCUUUUGACUUCCAGGUUGAUGAACACCGUGUAAUCUCAGUUCCUUACCAAUCGGUGCAGGUAUUCAUAUCCACAUUGAAAGAGGGUAAAAUGAGUAGUCUUAUCUUUUCACUCUAAGAAAUUUCUCUGCAAAACCUUAUGUAGUAAUUUUGCUGCAAAAGCCAAAGACUUUGACUUGUCUAUAUAGCCCAGAAACCUAUAUAUUUUUGUGGUAGAACUUCGAAAGAGAACCCACUUUGGCCUGAAUAAGGCAUAAAAUUCAUGUAACAGAAAAAAUAACUUUAGAUUAAUUGAUAUUGAAUAAUGACUAAAUAUAUUGAGCACAGAUAAGAAUUCUGUUUGGAGCUAUUGAUGACACCGCUUGAACAAUUUGACUAGUUCUAUCACUUUUGUAUAAAUAGUAUUGUUGAAACACGUUCCAGGAAAAUUAUCUCAUUUCACUUGCAUGUUUUUAGUGGUGCACACAGCAAUAUCAUGGCAGUUGAUGGCUUUGUACAUAACUGCCAUCUGCAGAAGAAACCAUUCUAAUACAUGGUGACCUUCUGCCACAUUUUUAGAUUGUAGUACAUUCUAAUCAACUGGAUAAUAUCUCUUCCAGAAGGGGGAGCAAUACAGACUGUAUUACUACUCUCUGUUGCACAAUGCUCUCAACUUUACUUUGGCUUGUAUAAUCACGGUGACCUAAGGAGAGAUGUAUCUGAAUACAUUAUGAAUAUCUUGACAGAUAUGUACGAUUCCUGGAUCCAUUAAUUUAUUUUACAUCCUUUUGCCUUAUUUGUGUCAGCUUGAUCUAAAUAUAAAUCCAUAUCUCCCUUCUGAGUACAUAAAUUAUCUCGACAAUCCCAUGGAAGUAAUAAGUGAAGCUGAAAAAGCUGCCAGGCAAGACAUUUGGAGUUUGAUGCAAUUUACUGAGAGCCUGCGCCGGCAAUAUGGAAAAGAGCCCUACUCCAUGGAAAUCCUGUUGAAAAAACUCUAUGUGAAGAGAAUGGCUGCGGAUUUGGGGAUUACCAGGAUAUAUUCAUCAGGAAAGAUAGUUGGCAUGAAAUCAAACAUGAGCAGGAAAGUUUUCAAGCUCAUAAUAGAUUCAGUGGCAUCUGACAUACACUGCAAUUCCCUUGUUUUUGAGAAUGGCCUAAUCAAGGUAAGAUGCAUGUUGUUCUCUUGCAAUUGCCAGAAGUGGUUCUGCUAGUGACGUACUUGAUAUGGUUUCCUUGAGUUAAUAAAAUCCGCGCAUGGUCUCCAAUGGGCUUGAAAAUGAGAAUAGUAUAGAUGAGGUUGACUGGCUGUCCUAUACUUGAGUCUGCACUAUUUGUCGCAUUUGAAGAAAGAAUAUCAGCCAAACUAUCACAUGGUCAAUUCUUUAUGAUCUCGUAUCUUGUUAGAAUAGGUGUUUGUUAGUACUGGCCGUAACUGUUGGAAAUUAUUUGAAUGGAUUUUUUUUGGGAUCUUACUGUUUUUGCUGAUGGUGUCAAUUAACCUUGAUAUUAACGUGCUUGCCAAUGUGAGUUUUUUUUUGGUUCUUUUGUACUCCUUUUUUACCCCUCCGAACACUGAACUUCUAAUGCUUGCUUCUUGCGCUCCAGGCUGAACUUCUGUUGGAGCUACCAAGAGAACAGUUGCUAAAUUGGAUUUUCCAGUGCUUAGCGGAACUCUAUGCUUCUCUGCCUGCCUUGAUCAAAUAUUAGUUUCUACGUCAAUGAUGCCCACCUUGGUACAACUACUUUUUGGAGGCAACUUGUACAGGAAAAAAGUAUUCCUCCCAUCUCGAGUGUUUUCUGGAAGGACUACAGCCUUGAAUCUUCACUGAAGCCACUUGCUCUGGACAAGUUAGAGAUUCAACCACUGAACAGGCUGUUAUGAUAUGUGUUAAGAGAAUAUAAGUAUUCUUGUAGAUAAUAAAUUAGUAAGGGUAUUCUUGUAAAUAGUUUGUUAGGUUUGUACUCCUAUAAAUACUAGUUGGUCACUCAUAAUACGGUGACUAGAUGUUUUUCCUCCCAAGAUACCUGUUGACAUGGUAUCAGAGCAAGAGUCCUAGGGUUCAGGUUAAACAUCUAGCAAAAGUACUGUUCACGCCGUUACUGUUCACGGCUAGGGAUGGCAAUGGGGGAUAUCAAUUAUAUGAAUAAUUAUAAAUGUCUACUAAUAGAAUUUAUUAAUUAGUUAUACUAAAUUUACUAAUACAUUUAUACUAAAUUUCUAAUUACACUUAAUAGAAUAACACUUUUUUCUCAAAAAAAGCACAAACGCAAUGAUGAAUUAGUGAUUGCAUUUGUACUAAAAGUGAAAAUUUGACUAUUUUAGUUAUAUUUAUUUCAUCAUAUUGGAUUGUAUUCAAAUAACUUCUGUUUGAUUGUUUUUAUGAGUUUCAAUUGUAAAAUUACAAUGAAUAAUAAUUUGGUGAUGUGUUGAUAUUUUAGUAUUUGAUUAUUUAUUAAAAUUUAAUUAUAAUAAAAUUAUAUAAUAAAAUUUUAUUAACCCUGCGGGUGCCCCCGCGGGGGAAGCGGGGCAAGGCGGGAGGGGGCGGGAGGCGGGGACGGGGGGGGACCGUGGGAACUAAUAGGCAACGGGGCGGGGACGGGGAGGGGUCCCCCGCCCCAACCCCGCCCCGUUGCCCGGGUCCCCCGCCCCAACCCCGCCCCGUUGCCAUCCCUAUUCACGGCACACUGUUCACGCCGGUACUGUUCACGGCGCACUGUUCACGCGUACUGUUCGUCUCGAGUUUUGACCCUGUCUUUGGUUUGACGUGCUAUUCGUCAUGGUUGAAAGGUUUGUUAAUGCGGUUACCACUGAUCAAAUUAAAUCGAGUUUUUCAGCACAUGAGUCCCAGAAGACUGUUACUAUAUCUGAGAAAGUUUAUGUUAAAUUCCUACAGUACCAAGUUACAAAUCACACAUCUCUUCCCUCUGCUUCGUUAGCACAAAAAGGUAAUGACUCAUGGAUUAUUGAUUCUGGGGCUACUGAUCAUAUGUCAGGUACCUCUAAAAUUUUUUCUAAUUUUCAAGAGUCUACUCCCUUUCCUCAUGUUACUUUAGCUGAUGGAUCUACCACUAAAGUUAAAGGACUAGGCACUGUAGAAAUUAAUCCAUCACUUUCGCUGUCUUCUGUUCUUUACGUACCCAAUUUGCCCUUUAAUUUAAUGUCUGUUAGUAAACUCAUUAAAUUUCUACAGUGUACAGUUACUUUUUCUCCUGAUUCUGUUGUCAUUCAAGAUUUGAAGACAAAGAGGACGAUUGGUGGAGGGCAUGAGCAUAAUGGUCUUUACUUUCUCAACUUCAAUGGUCCGAUAGCAUGUCCUGCUACUGUUUCCCCUCUUGAAAUUGACUGUCGUUUAGGUCAUCCGUCAUUACAAAAUUUGAAA